This 254-nucleotide ribosomal RNA is filed under the name uncultured bacterium. Its description in RNAcentral is "partial 16S ribosomal RNA". It matches the Rfam family "Bacterial small subunit ribosomal RNA", at positions 524 to 776 of the family's 1533-position model. The record is from RNAcentral.
UACAGGGGGUGCAAACGUUGCUCGGAAUCAUUGGGCGUAAAGCGCACGUAGGCGGUUUGUUAUGUCGGAUGUGAAAGCCCUUGGCUCAACUGAGGAAGUGCAUCCGAAACUGGCAAGCUAGAGUACUAAAGAGGGUCGCGGAAUUCCCGGUGUAGAGGUGAAAUUCGUAGAUAUCAGGAGGAACACCGAUGGCGAAGGCAGGUCUCUGGGCAUUAACUGACGCUGAGGAGCGAAAAGCAUGGGGAGCGAACGAG